AGUACUUGAAUAAUGACAUGGGGGAAGGGGAGAGAGAGUGAGAGAGUAUAGAAUGAAAAACAAAAGUCAGAAGUCUGUUUAUAUAAUUUACAUUCAAUCAAUCUCUAAAUCAUUACGUGCAAAUGACAUUAUUCAAUUUGUAUUUGCAGAUAAUAGAAUAUCACACAUACACGCAUGUCAUUAGCAAUCCAUAUUGGGAUUUUCAGUUGUUCAAUAAUGGAUGUGCUCUCUCUUCGCAACUGAGAAGUAUGCAGCUAAUCAAGCAUGAUGCCUACUUUUGAACCUUCCCUCAAUUUGAAACCUAAUUAUGUCGAUAUUACUUUGCAUUUCUCCAUUGAUCUUGUAGAAAAAACGAUGAUCCCUCAGCAUGUUUGGCAAACUUUUUUUGAUAAUUUGUUCACUGUACAAUUUAUUCAUGUAUAGCCCUUAUUUGGGCUCAAUUUCAGUGAGAUUUUAAAAAAAUUAUAUUUUGAAAUAAUAAUUUUUUUAAGAAUGUGUGAUUAGAAAAGAAGAAAAAAUUUGGGUUUAGGUGUAACAUUAUUUUAUUAAAGAAUGUCUGGUUGAUAAAAGAAGGGAAAAGUGAAUUAAAAUUUUAAUGGAACCCAAAUGGGGACAUAAUCUCUAAAUGCUCUUUAAUUGGUCACUCUAGAAUGGUGACGAUCCAGAAUCUCGAGUGAAGUAGCACGAUCGUUGAUCAUCGAUGGUUGCAAUAACGAAAUUGUUUAUUAAUAUUUAAUUAAAUAAUAUUAAAACAUUCUUUUGAAUCUGCCAUUGAUUUAGAAUUCUUUGAAAAAUAAAUAGAUUAUAGGUGUAAAAUACUCCAUACGCGACUCGAGUGCUAAAACAAUGAAAGAUUGGUAACUGCAAUCGCCAAAAUAAUAAAUUAAAGUUUAGUUGAUAUAUUUGUAAUAUAUUUGACCGGCAAAUGUGUUGGCUAUCCUAAUUUAUUUAUUUUAAAAAGGAAAAAAAAUUAAUAAUGCAUAUUUGCAUGGAGGCAACAAUGCGAUCGGGCUUCCAUGUGCCUAGGACACUCCAAAUGGAUGUAUUAUGUAUAUAUCCAAUUUUUAUCUAUUUUAAGUAUUCUUCUGCUUCCUUCAACUCUUUUAACAUAAAUUUUCAUUCCUUUUUUGCACUGAACAUAAAAUUAGAUUCCUCUUUAAUUCGUACUGCUCUGAGGUUUGUCCUCUAAAUUAUAACCUUGAUCUAUGGAAUUUAUGAUAUUAUUGGAUUGCACUGACAUAGUUCCCUGUUUCAGUUAUGCUGAGGAUCUGGAGGAUCUUGGUUUGGAAAAAUUCCAGCGUUGGAAACGUUUUCCUUGAGGUAAUCUAUUUUAAUUCACAUAUCGGCAGAGCUAGCACGGGCAACUGCUGGUGCUCAUUGGGGGCUGGCUCCACCAGUGCUUUUGAAGAAGUAUGGAAAAAAAAUGGCGCCAUUAAUAUCUCCAUGAACAAAUUGUCUGAUUUUAUGCUACUACCUUCCAAAUUCAAACCUACCACAUCUAUAGUAUAUAUAAGGGUUAGACAUAGUUCAAUUCGAUUCUAAAGAUAAUCGAAUCAAAUCAGAAUUUUUUGUGGAUUUAAGAAGGGGGAAUUUCUCAUCCAGAUUUAAUUAUGGAACUGAACCGGUAUAUACCAUAACUAAUUUAUAACACUUACUACAACACUGUAUUAAUCCGACUAAUGACAAGUUCAAUCUUAACUCUUAUAAAAUAAAGUAGUUCAACACAGUGAUUGAGAAAAAUUUAGGUCACUCAAUUUUGAUUAUUCGAAAUUUUAAUUACAAAGUUGGACUUGGCUAAAAACAGGAAAAUGAUAUUUUGAGCUCAAUUAAUUAGUUUGAAAAUGUAUUUAGAAAAAAAAAAUCAUAUAAUUUCGCUUAUUUAAUAUAAAAAAAAAUUUAAAAAUUAGAGAAAUUUGGUUCUUCUAUUUUCGAUCUAGAACCGAACCAAAUCUAUCAUUUUUCAAUCAUGUUACACAUUCAGAUAAUUAAAUUAAGAAGAACCGAAUCGAAUUAACUGAGUUCGAGAGUUUUGUCUAACCCCAUAUAAAGUCAUCUUUCAUAAAAUUGUGGUUAAGUUGGGCUAGGCCCAUAAACUAUGAACGAGAAGCAAUUCGACUCCAACCGGCUCGGUCGUAAAAAAAAAAAAAAAAGGGUUUUACAUAUCAAUGAAGUUUUCAAGUUAAAUUUGUUUAACUUUUCCUAGCUCAGAACGAAAGUUGUUGUAGCCCAAAUGGUAGAGCGCUUGUUUUGCAUAUGAGAGGCACCCGAUUUGAUUCCUUUCACCUCCACUUCUUCUUUUAAACUUUUAUAACAUAAUGCAUAAUUAUCAAAUAACUCUGUAUCAUAUAAUUUCCAUUUCCUGGUGCUGUAGCUCAUAUGGUAAAUAGCUUGCUUUGUAUGCGAGAUGCGUGGAGUUUGAUUUCCCACACCUCCAAUGAAGUUUUCAAGUUAAAUUUGUUUAACUUUUCCUAGCUCAGAACGAAAGUUGUUGUAGCCCAAAUGGUAGAGCGCUUGUUUUGCAUAUGAGAGGCACCCGAUUUGAUUCCUUUCACCUCCACUUCUUCUUUUAAACUUUUAUAACAUAAUGCAUAAUUAUCAAAUAACUCUGUAUCAUAUAAUUUCCAUUUCCUGGUGCUGUAGCUCAUAUGGUAAAUAGCUUGCUUUGUAUGCGAGAUGCGUGGAGUUUGAUUUCCCACACCUCCACUUCUUCUUUCAAUUUUUAACACAAUAAAUAAUAACUAAACAAUUUUAUAUUAUUAGUUAUUGUUUCUAAAAUAAUUUCUUUGAGAAAUAUAUUUCUUCUUGUUGUUAGAUUUUAUCAAUUUAUUUUGUAAAAAUCAAAUUUAGACAAUUUAAGAUUGAUCUUUAUUCUUUUAAGAGCUCGAAAAACAGUAUUCUUUUUUAACAUGAAAAAUAGCUCUAAAAUUCACUGUUUUGAAAAAAAUUUCAUAGGCUUCGCCUAAGUUCAUAAAAAUUUGAAACUUGAUUAUACGUGUAUGAUUCAAAAAAUUUAUAUUUAUUCCUUAUUAUUUUGGAAAGUAUUGGACAAUAUUUUCAUAUGUAUAUGAUUUUUACAUUUUGGUACAUUUAUAUAUUGAUUGAAGAUUCUUUUAAUAUAAAUUAAUAAACCAUUAAGAAACAAUCUUGCUAUAUUGGACGAGCGCUCAUGGCUACUCGACGCUCUGCCCUAUCUCACUCAAGCAGCUAGAUCUGCCUUGGCUGAGAUUGCUUUUGAUGGUGGCCAUAAAAAGGCCACCUGUCUUUAUUUUCCCUAUUGUUUUGUGUUUUCAAUUUUCUAGUUGAUGAUAGUUACGUGAACAUAGAAAUUUUUAUGAUCUUUUAUUUUUGUAAUGCACAGUUUCAAAGAUGGGUGUUCUUUUGAUGAUGGUGAUUGUGGUGGCCAUCUCAAAAGAACUGGCAUUAUUUUCUUUCCAUCUAUUUUUACAAUAUUUUUUAUAAUUUUAGUUUAAUUGUAGCUGAAAUUUUCUAUGUUCUGUACAUGUAUUUGAAUAUGAACUAUGUAGACUGCAAAUGCUCACAUAAUAACAAUAGUGAUUGGCAGUGGCGAAUCCAGUACUCGACGAACACCGGCGGACAUGCCGGCUGGAUCUAUCGAGAAUAAAUUAUUUUUUCGUUGUAGAAGAUAAAGGAUUUAGGUUAUAUAUCUAUCUGGUAAUUCAUUUUAAAUUUAAACAUCAUCCAUAGCUCGGUUAGAGCUUCAACUUACAAACAGAAAGUCCAAUGAUCAAACCUCUUCCUAACAAAUUUAUUUUGUAAUUUUUCUAUUUCUACAAUUUUUACCAAAACUAAUGCAAUAGUGAGGGGGACUCGAACCUAUGACCCCUCUUUAAGAUUAUUGAUAGCUUGACCAUCGUGGCAGUUGUUGAGUUUUGACGGUAAAUUUAAUAGAAUUAUAUAUUCUAUUUUAGUGGUUUUAAUGCAAUUGCAAAGAUUCGAACAUAUUCUCUUCAUUUGAAUUAUUCAGAACUUGACCAUUAUGUCAUUUGGUGAAUAUUGUUAACAUGUAUUAUAAAAUUAUAAAUGUUCAAUUUUAGCAAAAUAAUUAUUAUAUUUAAUUUUUAUAUUUUAUUACUACCGACAGUUAACAGUCAAUGACCGCACAUGCUCAAUCAAAAUUCUAGAUCCAUCACUGGUGAUGUGUAUUGGAUUCUCGUCCUUACCUUAGGUCAUUGCUCAACUAGGAUGGAUAGCUAGUCCAUCUGUGAUGAUCUUGAUCGCAUUUUUGCCUUGCUAUACCUCUGCUCUUCAAAUAUCUUAUUACCUAUGAGGCGAUCCCUAUACUGAUAAAAGAAACUAUAAUUACAUGGAUGCUGUCAAAGCUGUUGAGAUUUGAGGUUCCAUCUUAAAAAGUCAACCUUGUUAAGAGGAGUAAUCCAAGACCUUAUAAGUUGAUCUAUGUUUUCAUCCUUAAUCGAUAUAAAAUUUUAUUCCUUAACAUGCCCCCUCAAGAUCGUAGCUCGUUUGAGCAGACCAAUCUUGAAAUCCAUAUGUUCAUUUAUUGAGUCUUAAUUGAAUCAAAUUUCUCGUUAGAGUUUAAUGGACUCUGAUAUCAUGUUAAGACUUAAGGUUCUAUAUUAAAAGAUCAACAUUGUUAAGAGGAGUAGCCUGAAAACUUAUCAGUUGAUCUAUAUUUUCAUCCUUAAUCGAUAUAAGAUUUUAUCGCUUAACAAAGCCGAGGUAAUUUUCUGUUCAACUGUAGUUAAUAUCUCAAGCGCAGACGGCCCUAAUGAUACUAUUAUAUUUUAUACUUAUCUUCUUGCGAUACUUGGAAUAUUCAGGUUGAUUUCGGGUGAAAAUUUGUGGAGCAAUCCAAUACUUGAAUCUUUUUGGAGUUGCCAACGGUUACACUAUCGAUUUCUCUAUAAGCAUGAUGUGAGUAUGAGAGGAAGAUAAACUCCAUUUUAGUUCAAUUUUGCUUAGUAGUGUAAAAAUGGGUGGGUCAUAUUAAGAUUUGGGGUCCAUUUUAAUAAGGUUAACAUUGUUAAGAGGAGUGGUUCAAGAUCUAUUUAAAUUGGUCAAUAUUUCGGUAUUUAAUCGAUGUGAGAUUUAUUCCCUUAAUAUGCCACCGCAUGAUGGUGGCUCUUUUUGAGCAGACUAAUUUUGAAAUCCGUGUGCUCAUUUUUUAGACUUAAUCGAAUCGAAUAGCUCGUUGGAACUUAUUGGACUCUGAUACCAUGUUAAAAUUUGGAGUCAAUCUUAAUAAAAUCAAUUUUAUUAAGAGGAGUAGCCCAAGAUCUAUUUAAGUUAAUCAAUAUUCCGGUAUUUAAUCGAUGUGUGAUUUAUUCCCUUAACAGGUCGAUUUGGACGUCCCAUGACCCAUUACGUUAAAGGAUCGGUCCAUUACGGUUUCCAGGCCUUGGCCCUCAAAAAUUUUGUUAAACCCAAGAUCGAUCCACUGCCUUCUCUGUUGGCUUUUCUUAUCCCAAGGCCUUAAUUCCACCCCCAAAUUAUUAAUUGAUGUUAGAAAGCUAAGAACAUUAUCUACUUGUCAAUUUGGAUAUGUUUAGGAAUCUUUUUCUAGUAAAAUGGCCUUUUAAUGAAUGCUUAUUGGUUAUUAACAUAAUGUAAUCGAUAAGAUGAGGAGAAAAAAGAAUGCAUUUUAUCAGAAGAUUUGGGAAAAUAUUUUUGAUAUAUUUUUUACAUAUUAUUUUAGUUGUCUUAAUAUAGAUUGAUUUUUAAAUGUCAAUGAUAAGUGCUUAAAAAAAAAUAAUAAUAAUAAAUAAAUAAAAAUCAUGAGUUGUCCAAACAGGCAAUUAGUCCUGAUUGAUUUAGUUGUACGAUUUUCAACACAACCUGUACCUGCGGAUUUUAUGGUUUUUAACACUUAAACGGGACGCAAUUUUCACUUCCAUAUUACAGUUAAUACAGAUUUAUUUAUCUACCAUUUUAGAUAUUAUUUGAUAGGUUAAAUAAUUUAAGUUAAGGAAAUAUUUGCUUAUCAUUAAACUUUCCUUAAGUUUAUUUAUCAGUAUAUCAAAUAAAUCUUGUAUGAUAUGAUUAUAGACUUACCGAUUUUAUUGUGUAUAAUUUUAGGUAAGAUUUAAUCUAAUCUUGAUUGUUGUUUUAAGGAAAUAUUGAUUUAAUAUUAAACUUUCUUUAACUUUAUGAUAUGAUUUUAUACUUGUCGUGUUUCAUUGUCUGAUUUUUGUGUAAGUUUUAAUUAGAAUCUUGUUUAUUGCUUUAAAUAAGUAAAUGAAGAAAUAAAGAAGACAAUUAACAAGCUUUGAAUAACUUUUUCAACAAGAAAUCACACUAGACAUUAUGCCUUAUUGAUGAAAUCAAAGUACAAUUUUAAAAAAACCUGAUUCCGCUUGUGAACCUAUUACCUGUGACAAGCAGUUCUGUCGUUAACUAGCAGCAAGCAAUUUCAUCAUUAACUAGCAACGAGCAGUUCAGCCAUUCUCGAAAGAGUUCAUAUAGAUGUGAUGCUUCAUUUAAUAUUUUCGAAGCCAAAUUUCUCUUCAAGUAUUAGGCCCUGUUUGGGAGCCAUUUUAAUUUGAGAGAAUUCAUUUUCCAAUCUUAUCAUUCCUGGCUUAUGAUUUCAUGACUUUUGUAUUUGCUGUAGGGUUUUGUCUUCGUUUUCUAUUUAUACCCCAUUAAUGGCAAAGAAAUCACAGUGCAAACUACUGAAUAUUGGAUAGUUGGAGUGAUGGAAAAAAUUGGUAAAGUUUAAAAGAGAGGAAUAACUCUGGAUAGACUUUUGUCAAGUCAGUGUCAAAAAUAUUGAAUAAAGAGAGAAUUGUUCACUGUGUGACGGUAAAGAAAUGUCUACAAAUGAGAUGAAAAUGAGCUUCAAACAAUCGCUAGGAGAAUACGUGCGCUCAAUAUUCAAUCCCAUCAAUGAAUCUAACUACAAGCUUGAGUUAAGAAUGAGGGUUCUUAAUUCAGGUAGUGGCUGCAGCUGAGUACAAAAGUGAAGUGAUGGUAAAGUCAAGAUCAAAGUAUUUGAUUACGCUUCUACAAUAAUUCAAAAGAAGAAGAAAAUCAAUGAGUUGUUUUUAAAUUUCUUUUGAUUGUUUUUGUUAAUUUUGCAAAAUUACAAAAUUGAGAUUGUCAUAUUUUUUAUCAAUUAAUUAAUGGAGAUAUUUACACCUAGCAUGGGGCAUGGAAUGUUCUCCUUUGGAGUUGACCACGUUAUAUUUGGUGUUCAUAAUUUAAUAUGUUAGUUAAUUUUCACAAUUGAGCAAAACCCCUUUGAACACUAUAAUAUGUUUACACGCUGUAGUAGGAACUGCAGACAAAAACUGGUUAUAGAAUAUUCUGACUGCAUAACAUGUACUAAACUGAGUAAUUAAGAUGGAAUUUUUAAUUAAUUAGGUAUAAGUAUUUACAAAAAGCUUAAAACAUAGACCUGAAUACAUGAUUUUAACAUUUAUUUGUCUUUAACACUUUAGUAAUGCGCAAUUGAUCUUUUAAAUGAACAAUAAAAUAGUACAAGACACCCUUUCGAGACCACAAAUUAUCUCUGUGUAAAAACCUUCUGUUGACACAUAAAAAUUCAACUCAAGUCGAACAGCCCAAGGAGUAAAGCCCAAUUGGAGAAUCCCCAAAUCGGAUGGCCCAAAGAACGAAGUCCAAUCGAACGAGUCAAGGUGAAGGCCCAAACAAGGGGCCCAAGAAUGCGGUAACGCCAUCGCCCAAGUUUGCAAGUCGUCCAGAAUCUGAACGAAUGGAGUGUCAUACGGUCGCCCAGAGCUGUUAUUCUACUCUCGCCCAAACCUUCAAGUCGCCCAAGGUAUCAACAAACAUAACGCAUCGUGGUUAUCAAGGAAUGCAGUUAUCAAGGCAGUUGUUAAAGUAGCCUUAUCACGUUCCACGACUCAAGGAAUUCAAUCGAAAGCGGUUGAACGAUGAAAGAUAAUGGCAGCAGUUAAGAGGCAAUUUCAUGACAAAAUGGCCACUACAAAGAAAGUGGGUAGUUAUAGGACGAUCAAGCAGUUUUCAGAGUAGUUAAUCACAAAGAGAUCGUCUAUGAGGUAUAAAAGGGAGAAAGGACGCAGAAGCAAAGGACCGAAUCCAAAACUCUCGAACAGAGAAUAUGUAAUUUUCAUUUCCUUAGCUUUUAGACUUAAACAUCUUUCUUUCUGUAACUCGUGUGCUUGCGCCCCUUGGAGGCACGUUGUUCUUCAUUCCCAAUUGUAAAGUUCAUCGCCAAUAAAAGAACACCCCUUUUUGGGACUUUGUCUCAAGAGGUUUCGUCCCUUACACAAUCGUCUGAUCCCUUUUAAUUGUUAGCGACUUAACCCGCGCGAAACAAUUUGACACGCCCAGUGGGAUAGUGGUGUUAGGUGUUGAAAAUACAAAAGGUGAAACAAUAUGCCUCAGAGAUUCGACAAGGAAGGAGCAAGUCAGGGAGGAAUCCAGUCUGUAAUCGAGCGAUAUGAGGAGCAGCAUGCCUCUCCACGAACAGAUGGACAAAAUCAGAGCAGUAAUAAUCGUUACGAACCAAUGACGGAGUUGAGUCCUCGAACCAUGCGUGCAUUGCUUGGAAAACUCACGCAAGACGUCGUUGAACAGGUAAAUCUUCGAAGUAUUCAUAAUAUGGAAAGAUUUACACAAAAUGGAAAUGCACACUAUGACAAUAUGGUCAAACAGCUAAAGACGUUAAACGAAACAAUGAAUAAGUUAGUAGGCCAAAUAUGUCAACCGGCUAUACCUCUUACAAACCACUUUCAAAUCAGGACAAUUGUGGGACAUAAUCCCUUUGUCCUAAAUCCGAAUCAAGGGGUGGAAUCGCUUUCUGGUCCCUCUACCUCAAACCAAGGAGGUACUACAGUGCCAAAUCAAAAUAAUGGUAGUGGCAUGCCUAACUUGGGGGGUAAUUCAAACGUAAGAGAUAAUGUCCUAAACAAUGGACAGAAUAUUCCACGUGGUAAUGAGAGAACAGAUGUCCAGGCUAACGGUAAUGGACCUAAUUAUGGUAAUUUUGUUGCCAAUCAAGGACCAAACAUCAGACUUCAUGCAAAUCAACCGGUUAAUCAGCCUGUAGGAAUUCCAUAUGAUUCCAAUGUCAUGUUGAGGAACCAGAUUAUGGAAAUCGUGCAGGAUUAGAUGGCCUUUGGGGUGCGUCCUGUCGUUAGGCCGACGUAUACAAAGCCAUAUCCUGAUUGGGUAGACCAAGCAUAUCCAUGGCCUAGAGGGUACAAAGUGAUAGAAUUCUCACUGUUUACUGGUUUAGGAGAGGUGUCUACUCUAGAACACAUAGGGCGAUUCACGUUGCAAAGUGGUGAUGUAACCGAUUACCAUAAAAUGAGACUUUUCCCUAGUUCGUUAACAGGAGUAGCUUUCUCCUGGUUCAUCAACUUGCCAGCGAACUCUGUUCAAACAUGGCAACAACUGGAACAGCUGUUUCAUGCUCAGUUUUAUAAAACUGAAUCUGAAGUCACUUUGGCUGAUUUGGCGAAUCUACGUCAAAUGUCAAAUGAAUGGGCAGAAAGUUUUCUCCAAAGGUUCAAAACAGCAAGAAGCAAAUGUUUUGUACCUCUACCCGAAAAAGAAUUUGUAAAGAUCGCACAAGGCUACUUGAGCUUUGAUUUAAAAAAGAAGUUUCAAGACAAGGAAUUUCCUGACCUUUUCCAGUUGAGUGCUGCGAAUGUGAUUAGAUAUGAACGACUGAUAAGAGAAGAAGAACAAAUGAAAAAUUCUAGUAAAGGGACUUAUUACAGAGACCCAAAUUUUGACGUUCAUACCAUCGACGACGAAUCAUACGAUCAGGCUGAAAUGUGUUUGGCCGAAUUGGUAAAAGGGGAUACAUAUACUUGUCCCAUAAUGGCCAAGCCUAGACCAUCGGGCAAAAAUGAGCCCAUAAAGGAUGGAAACAUAAAAGGUAGAACGUUCUCGUUCGAUGUGACCAAAGCUGACCUUAUAUUCGAUAAAUUGUAUAGGGAUAAGCAAAUAAAGCUGAGCGAUAAGCACAAAUUGCCAAAACCUGAACAAAUAAAGGGUAAAAAAUAUUGUAAGUGGCAUAAUGCAUGGUCACAUUUGACUAACAAUUGCUUGGUUUUCCGUCACGUAUUGCAGGAUGCUAUUGAAUCAGGACGAAUUACGUUCGACGAUAAGAAAAAGAUGGCAGUGGACGAGAAUCCUUUCCCACAGCCACUUGGGGUAAAUAUGGUAACAUCUGGGUUCAAGAACAAGUUGCCAAAAUUCAAGUUGGUCAUAGACGAUGGAGAAGAAGACACUAAAACACAUCCCAGUGUUUUCGAACGAAUCAAAGGGAAAUAACCAAAAAAGGACGAAAACGUCCUGUGUGCAAGGUGUAAAAGGGAAGUAAACGGAGACACGGAGAAACCAUGGACAUGGCAGCAUCCUCAUCGCCCUGCCUUCUUCCCAAACAUUCAGCCUGGCAGAGGGCGAGAUACAUCAUUUUAUAGAGGACCACCUUUUGAAAGGCAGUUCAGACCAGCAGAUAUUGGAAGAACAUUUAGGCCGCAACCUCGCCGGCCAAAUGUAUGGCAUUCAUUCCAAUACAGCGCAGGAAGGGCAAUACCCUUCGAUGAGAUGACUAUGACCCAGCAAAGGCGUUUCCAGCGAAACUAUGGACGGAUGAUGAGGCAGCAACAAGGAAUGCCACAUCCUAAAGCGCCUCUAUUACUCAAGGUAGCCAAUCAGAACGUCCUCAAAAGUAGUAAAGAGACUGGUACAGAUGAAUCAAUGAAAGAACUGCCAGAAACCUCUUCUGGAAGGUCAAGGUUUGAGAGGGACAAAAAGGAUGAAGAAGAUCUAGAUCAGCCCCUUGCUAUCCAAUUCGAUACGUUGCCUCCUGUCGUGGCCAAUAAUUACCUACUAGCCAAUGAAUUCAAGAAUAAAGAAAAGGAAGAAGAGAGGGAGGACAACGAAGAAGAAGCCUGCAGGCUGGUAUGUGAAGAAGGCCAGACUUCUGGAGAGGCCUACAACGAUGAAGAGGACGAUGGGAUGACAGACAUUAAAGAAGAAAUCGACCUAGAAGCAGAAAGGAAAAAGAGGGGAGUAUCGCGCAACACUCUGUUUAAGCAACUACACCAAGAGGGAGUUCGCGAAGUAGACUUGUUGGGGGAGCCAUCUGGGCGUCCUUUCGACUUCUACGUACUAUACGGGACACCCAAAAGGAAGAAGAUAGUACUUCGCUCUGAAAAGUAUGGGUCACCUCCAAAGAUAAUGCCCCCUCCCACAGGUUGGAUAACUGAUGAGGAAGCAUUAGAAAGAAGUAAGAAGGAAAUUCGGGAGACAGAGGAUCAGCGUGACAUACUACACGUCGACCUAUCACAGGGGGAUAAUUCGACAGAAAACAAGCAAGAAGUAGAAAUAAAGGCUGUCGAAAACGUUGUUUUUAAACGGCCAGCCAUGAAAUUGACAAAACACCUGAGGCCAUUAAACGUUAAAGCUCUAGUUAACGGCGUCCCAGUGGCAAAUGUGCUUGUCGAUAAUGGAGCGGCUAUAAACACCAUUCCAUCCAGGAUGAUGAGAAAGUUCGCAAAGACAGAGGGUGAUAUGAUUCCUAUAGAAGUCAUCCUCACUAGCUUCAAUGGAGGAGCAACUUCAGCUAAGGGAGUUAUGCCUUUAGACAUAACUAUAGGUACGACUACUAGGACCACUGUCUUCUUUGUAAUAGAUGGCCCUACUAGUUACAAUGUGCUCCUAGGAAGAGAUUGGAUACACGGAAGCCGCUGUAUACCUUCGUCGCUCCAUCAAUGCCUGAUUUUUUGGAAUGACAAAGGCGAAGCAGAGGUGGUACAGGCUGAUCAUAGGCCUUUUGUCGUGGAAGCAAACUCGGUGGAAAAGUUCACGUACGAAGGAAACUAUGGACCUGUCAGAGUGGUACAAGACGGGGAAGAAACUUAAGUUGUCGCACAAAGCGAAGAACCAUUCUCAGUGGACGCACUCACUGAGAUGUUCAAACGGAUGAGACCAAAUAUAGUGGCCCUAGAAGAGCCAGUGAUUGGCAAAAGAAUAAUCAAGGAAUCUUAAACGGAUUCUGAGUUGCAAAAGCAAAUGGCCGAUAUUCAGGCCUUCAAAGCCAGACUGAUGGCUUUCAAUAAGGAAUGCAAUGACAAAGUAAAGGAAGAGACUGCCCUAAAAGCGCUGAAGGACAAGUUGGCAGUAUUCGAGUUAAAGCAAAGCCUUGGCCGAGAAGUCAACAAGGUGGAUUGUUUGGAAGAGGAAGUACUUACAAAAGAACUGGACGACGAAGUGAUGCGGAUUGCCAAACCUGGAUACGCUCAAGCGCAAGACCCUCUGAUCAAAGUAAAUAUUGGUGAUGAAGGAGAAGAUCACCCAACGUUCAUCAGCCAGAUGCUCGACCAAGAGGUUAGUAACAAAUUAAUCGCUUUGUUAAAAGAGUACAAAGAUUGUUUUGCUUGGGAAUACGAACAAAUGCCUGGUUUAGAUAGAGACUUAGUGGAACAUAGAUUACCAACUAAGCCUAAUUUUAAACCUCAUAGGCAACCUCCUAGGCAUUUUGCUCCUAAUGUACUCCCCGAAAUUAAGAAAGAGAUAGAGCGAUUAUUGAAAGCAGGUUUUAUAAGAACAGCCAGAUAUGUUGAAUGGUUGUCAAAUAUUGUGCCAGUACUAAAAAAGAAUGGUAAACUAAGGGUGUGUAUAGACUUUAGAAAUUUAAACAUAGCUACACCCAAAGAUGAGUAUCCAAUGCCCACGGUGGAUUCCUUAGUAGAUUCAACUGCUGGACAUGUUAUGUAUUCUUUCAUGGAUGGGUAUUCAGGAUACAAUCAAAUCUAUAUAGCUGAAGAAGAUAUACACAAAACUGCCUUUAGAUGCCCUGAGUCUCUAGGAUGUUUUGAAUGGGUGGUUAUGCCUUUCGGCCUAAAAAAUGCAGGGGCAACUUAUCAAAGGGCCAUGAAUUUAAUCUUUCAUGACAUGAUAGGCAAGUUUGUUGAGGUGUAUGUGGAUGAUAUAGUGGUCAAGUCCAUUAAAGAAGAUGACCAUUUCGAACAGUUAAGAUGUUCGUUUGAAUGAAUGAGGCGAUAUAAGCUAAAGUUGAAUCCCUUGAAGUGUGCAUUCAGUGUCAAUGCAGGGAACUUUCUUGAUUUCUUAGUACACAAGAGAGGGAUUAAACUUGACAAAAAUAAAGCGAAGGUCAUCUUAGAAGCCAAACCACCUAGCAAUAAAAAGGAGUUGCAAAGGUUUCUAGGCCAAGUAAAUUUUUUAAGACGCUUUAUUUCUAAUUGUGCAGGGCGAACUAAAGUUUUUCGCUGCUAUUAAAGCUGAAAAAUCAGGACGAAUUCGUCUGGUAAGAAGAACAUCAAAAGACUUUUGAAAGUCUGAAGACAUAUCUAUCAAGUCCACCAGUGUUGGUGUCACCAAUCCAAGGACGGCCAAUGAAAAUAUAUGUAUCGGCUGAAAAAGAAUCAAUAGCUGGAAUGGUCGCACAGGAAGACCAAUUUGGUGAAGAAAGAGCAAUUUAUUACUUAAGUAGACGGUUGACGAAAUGUGAAUGUAAUUACUCUGCUGCUGAAAAUUUGUGUCUAGCACUGUAUUUCACAUGUACAAAACUAAGGGCUUAUUUACGGCCCGUAACCGUUUAUUUAAUUUCUAAAGUAAAUUUAGUCAAGUAUAUGUUCUCGCGCCCUAUUUUACACCAAAGGGUAGGCCUUUGGACACUAGCUUUAUCAGAGUUCGAAAUACAAUAUAUACCUCAAAAGGCAGUCAAAAAUCAGGCUUUGGCUAACUUUCUAGCCGAUCAUCCAUGCCUUGACAUGCCUAAAGAAAUCGAAUUAGAAAUCAAUUCGUUCGAAUUAAAACCUUGGGUAUUGUAUUUCGAUGGGUCAAAAACUUCUUAAGGUGCGGGAGUAAAGGUAGCAUUGAUUAAUCCUUUAGGGAUCUGCUACAAGUUUGCAUUCACCUUAGACAGAAUGUGCACCAACAAUCAGGUCGAAUAUGAAGCUUUAAUUGUAGGCCUAGAACUAAUGGUAGAUAUGGGAAUAAGAAAUGUGAUCGUUAGGGGCAAUUCUCAAUUAGUGAUCCAUCAAUUGAUCAGUGAUUUUAAAUGCCAAAGUGAUUCUAUUAUAAGUCAGUACGAGAUCGUCCAAGAAUUACUAGAAGAAUUCGAUCAAGUAGAACUCCAAUGCGUUAAUAGGAUAUAUAACGACAUGGCAAAUGAGUUAGCCCAAAUGGAAUCAGGGUACUCAAAGGUUUUGAAUUGGAAGUCUACUUGUGAAUAUGGAAUCAUAUUGCCCGUGAUUCAAAGAAGGGCGAGAAAAAUUGAACUUCACUGUACACAAGAUGGAGAUGCAGUGGAUUGGAGAGCAGAGAUUAAAAGGUUCCUUAAAGAACCUAAUGGAUGGAUUAGUAGGAAAACGAAGCUAUGUUUGCUGAAUUACACACUAAUAGAUGAAGAGUUGUUUAAGAAACGCUCUGAUGGUGUAUUACUAAAGUGUGUAAGUUUGCAAGAAGCCAAGACGAUCAUGGCUGAAGUGCACGAAGGGAUAUGUGGAGCUCAUCAAGCUGGCCAAAGGAUGAGAUGGUUAAUUAUUAGGAGUGGAUAUUUUUGGCCAAAGAUGGGAGAACUAUGCGUUCAGUAUGCAAAAAGUUGUUUAGCAUGCCAAAAACAUGGUCCAAUACAAAGGGCGCCAGCACGAGAGAUGGCCCCUAUUAUUAAAUCUUGGCCGUUCAAAGGUUGGGCGAUGAUCUGAUAGGAAAGAUUUACCCUCCAUCGUCCAAGCAACAUACUUUUGUUAUAGUUGCAACCGACUAUUUCACCAAAUGGGUAGAGGCGGUACCUUUGAAAGAGAUCACCCAGAAGAAUGUUAUAGAGUUUAUUCGUGAUCACAUUAUUUAUAGGUUUGGAAUUCCACAAACUUUAAUGGUAGAUCACAGAACAUCUUUAAAUGGGGAUCAAGUGAACAAAUUCUUGAGCGAGUUUGGGAUUAAAUUAGUAAACUCUACACCGUACUACGCUCAAUCCAACGGACAAGCAGAAUCUUCUAAUAAGAUUCUAAAAAAUAUCAUCAGAAAGAUGAUAGAUGAAAANNNNNNNNNNNNNNNNNNNNNNNNNNNNNNNNNNNNNNNNNNNNNNNNNNNNNNNNNNNNNNNNNNNNNNNNNNNNNNNNNNNNNNNNNNNNNNNNNNNNNNGGCAAAUAUUUGAAAAAAUAUGUUCCUUCUUUAUGGGAAUGUGAACAGAUAAAAACAUGAUCAAACAUUUUGGACGAUCAAAAGAUAAUUAAGACAGAGCGAAAUACGUUCGAAUAAAGUUCUUUACUAUUAAACGUUCAUUACUAGAAUACAAAAGAUACAAAUGAUGGACGUGUUACAAAAUACAACUAAAGUAUCUCCCGGUUGAUCGCUGAGUAAGUUUCACACCGCCUUCCUAAAUGUAUCGCUACAAUGGUGGGAUUGACGAGUAAGAGGGUGUACUGGCCCUACCGCCUUCCUAAUUGCAUCGCUGCAAUGGUGGGAUUGAUGAGUGAGAGGGUGUACUGACCUCACCACCUUCCCAAAUGCAUCGCUGCAAUGGCGAGGCUGAGAAACACUCUCAGCAGGCAAGCUGAGAAGCACUCUCAUCAAGCAAAGUGGCCCACAUGCAGCCCAAAAAUUGCCUCCCAUCAUUGACUCCUUGUGAAGAACAAAGAGACGACGGGAAGAAUUUUGCAGGAAAAAACUUCGCUGCUGGCCAGAAAAUAUUUCCUAUACCUUCCUUACCAAAGGUGACAUCAAGGUAAAUAUAAGGCGGACGGACUAUACAGUCCAUUUUUAGAUCUGGUUGAUCGUCAGAAUGCCAAGAAAUGGCAGCAAAUUGGUUUCGAAGAAGAAAAUGAAGAGAUGAAGAUAGAGGAUAAAAAAUGCGAAACAUUUAUAGGGGGUGAAGAUGAAGAGACAGAAUACGAACAGCCACAUUUCUGUUUAAUAGACGGAAUUAAAUGGCCCUAAAUCUUGGGAACAGUAGUGGGAAUAUCAAAAGGGAAUGGACAAGAUUUUUAGUGCCAAGCAGUUAAGUGAUUAAAGAAUUGAUGAUUAGAAAAUAAACGUUAAAUAAAUGCACAAGAAGUUAAUGUUCGUUAAUAAUGAACAAAAAUUACAAAAGAGAAAAAGACAUUGUAUGUCUUAAUUACAGUCUAUCCCAUAAGGAACGAAUUCGUUCCCUAAGUUUUUCCCAAUCCUCGUUCUGCCGAGAGGAAGUGAUGUUCAAUUCAGCUGCAACGUCAUCAUCAUCAACCUCCAACUUCUUGUACUGUUCGACCAAGGAUUUAGUUCGCUCAAUCCCUUGAGAGGCGUUGUGCUUUUUAGCAGCCAUCCUCGCCCUGCAAUCGUCCAUUUUGGCUUGAAGUUCCCUCAUCUGAGCAGCCAGGCUAACCAUCAAGGAGUCUUCAAUCAUGACUUCGGAAGAGAUUUCUUUCAACUCGUCCUUAGCCUUGUUGAUCUCCAUGCGUAAAGACUCUUUCUCAGCCACAGCUCGAAGAUUUUGAGUACGCUUGGCCUUUAGUUCAGCAUUCUUGGCCAGCAUAGAAAGGACCUCGGAGUGAAUGACCUUCAAUGUCGCUUUAAAGUCGGCAGAAAGACUGAGCGACGGAAGCGUCAGUGCUUGCUCUAACGUUGCACUCAAGUGCUCAAGUUCAUCCUUGUGUCUGGCAGCAUUAGCCCUUCCAAUGUCCAUAUCCAUGAAGGAUACGUACUCAAAUACCAACUCCUUCAAGAACUUCAAAUCAUCCUCUAAAGAAGCAGCAGGACAAUCAGAUGGAGCAGGGCCAGGCAUUUGGACCUGCCCCCAAGAAGCGAACAAAUCCUGGAUAGAAUGCACAAUCCUGUCAGCAUCCUGCAAAGAAGGUUGCCAAUAUUAAAAAUCCUCACUACAAUGAACAAGGUGGAAAUAGAAAUGAUAGAAAUGAAGCAAAAAGAAAAACUACCUCGUCGACAAUCGUAGAAGAUGGCGCGCCCUCGACCAAGCUUGCAACCAGCGACUCAUCCAUUCGUAAGGACUUCCCCUUGUCCGAGCGAGACGACGUUGCCACAACGGGCGGACUCAUAGGAGUAUAUGCAAAAUUCAAGAGCAACAAAUCAGAAACCAAUAGCACGAGCAAAGGUAAGACAUCAAAAACUGAAUUACCUUCUGCUUCAAUGAUUGGGGGGUUGACACCCUGGGAAGAAGGUGGCUCAUCCAUGGGUUGUGAUGAAGACUCUGGGACCGAAGAUGUAUCUUUAAGCAUGGUCCCAUCACCAACCGGUUUGGAUGAAGUAGCCUCAACAGAGGAUGAUGGAGCAGGAGUUGUCGAUGCUAAAGCCUUUGAAGGGGAGGCUGAACUUUUCUGAAAAGUCCAAAAGAUCAUCAGUACACAGAACAGUAUCAAAUGUGGAAAAGCAUACUUGUAAAUAGACCGAUUUAAUUACCUUCCUCCUGACGAUAAGAGGGGCAUCAUCAUCAUCAUCAUCAACAUCAUCCUCUAGAAUGGGAGAUGCUGAGGCUGGCCGUUUGCGGCUUGAAACACUCUUGGCCGUAGUAGGCCUGGCGGGGAGAGAAGAAGAUGGACGAGCAGGUUGUUUAGUACGACGAGAAGGAGAGGGGCUUCGAAUAGACAAAGGAGUGACCAAAACAGGAGGAGGAGAAGAAAUACUCGGUUGGUCUAAUGAAUGAAAGGCACGAUUGGCCUCAGUCGCAAAUAAUCUGCGCUUCACUGAUGGUCAAAGUUGUUCAAAAAGAGGGUGAGUAGCAUGACAAGAAUUAAAAGGGGCUAAUGAAAAGUGGCUUGAUAAAUGGAGGUUGCGAACGUUUAUAGCCUCUGCUUCCGCCUUAUUAAUGGUAUGAAAACGGUCAAUUAAGCUCUUCGAAUAGCAAAGAGGAACAGGCCAAGUUUGGCCAAAACCAAGCUGACGGGCAAAAAAUUGGGGAGCAUAAAUUUCUACCCCCACUUUGACAUUGGUCCCAGUUAAGAUAUCAUGGAAAAGCUCCCUCCCAGUUAAAAACUGGAUCCAAAUGAGCAGAGAGGUGCUCGCGCUAUCUAUAGUGGAAGGGGGAUGUACAUAGUUUGGAGUCAAAAAAGGAGGAAAAAGAAAGAAAGAAGAAAUUGAAUCUAAAGAAUAAAAGAAUGAAAAAAUGUCCCUUCUGGACAUAUUUACAGGAGUUAAGGGCUCCAUAGCUAGCCCGUAACAGCUAGCAGAAGGACGAGAAAUGGAUGGAGCACCAAGCGAUGGAAAAUAGGAUCUCAACCACAGUUGAGUGAACCAAAGAGGUUCACUGCCAGUGGGAGAUGCACCACUCUUCAAUUGAGCCUGAAGAAAAGCCAUACCUCUAUAAAGGGCAGCCAAAAACAAAGAACAUAAAUUCAAAGGCCUGCCACGUGCCAAUUCGUGCGCUAUAGGUAAAUAACUCAGAGAAGGCUUUAUACUUGGCACACACAAAACAUAUUUACAAAGCCAAACUAAAAGAAAGGUCACUCGCUCAGAAUGGGUAGGCUCAGCGCUCGAAUGAUUAUGGAGAGUCUGCACGCUUGAAUAAGAAUCGGUGUAAUUUUUACCGAAUUGUGGGGCACCACCAAAAACUAAGAUACCUGGGAAAAUGGUAUCGCCCAAAGGUGGUAAAUUCACCAGGGCCCCAACAUCCCUUAACGUAAUGGAUAUGGGGCCAAGAGGAAAAAUAAAGGUGUUGUACUCAGAGGACCAAAAACUCAAGACAAUUGGAAAGAGCGCUGAAUCAAAAGUAGGGGGCGAAUAGAGACUUCUAAUAAGUCAGAAAUCCUAGCGCUAUCAAAAAGUGCCUUAGUAGGGUCAUGACCCACAAGGCGAGCAUGCCACCUACGAAAAGCUACAUCAAAUUUAGGCCAAGUGCGAAUACCUCUUUCGCGAAGUGGCCCCAGCGGUAGAGAGUUUAGAAAAGGAGGGCCAUGAGUGCAAGGAAACAGCUGACCCACCGCCGCCUGUUCAACUGCCUCCGCAUUGUUGAAGAAAGGACCCAAGUAAAACUCAUUACGUCCAACGUCGGCGGGCGCGAGAAAACUUGGGGUUAUGUAUGGGCGACUCAGAAGUUUCUGAAAGUCAUCAAAACGAAAGGAAUCACUAGCUUGAGAUUGUAAAGCAGCUAUUGGAGGAUGAACGAAGCUUUUCGGGGUUACGUAACAAGGAAGCAAAAGAUGAACAGUGAAUCGUGAAAGAGAUGCAAAAAAUAUGAGGCGUGGUUUGGUAGCAGUGAAAUGGCGUGUUUGGGGUUUAUAAGGGUUUGCAAAACGACGCACUUUUUCAAGUUAUAGAAGGAAACAAUGAUUGCAAUUCUUGAGAGUUUCGAACGUCGCCGGGAACAUGAAGUGAACAUGGCAAAAUUCAAUAAUUAUUAUUAAUUCUGCUAUAUUGGGGGGUAAUUGUUGACACAUAAAAAUUCAGCCCAAAUCGAACAGCCCAAGGAGUAAAGCCCAAUUGGAGAAUCCCCAAAUCAGAUGGCCCAAAGAACGAAGUCCAAUCGAACGAGUCAAGGUGAAGGCCCAAACAAGGGGCCCAAGAAUGCGGUAACGCCAUCGCCCAAGUUUGCAAGUCGCCCAGAAUCUGAACGAAUGUAGUGUCAUACGGUCGCCCAGAGCUGUUAUUCUACUCUCGCCCAAACCUUCAAGUCGCCCAAGGUAUCAACAAACAUAACGCAUCGUGGUUAUCAAGGAAUGCAGUUAUCAAGGCAGUUGUUAAAGUAGCCUUAUCACGUUCCACGACUCAAGGAAUUCAAUCGAAAGCGGUUGAACGAUGAAAGAUAAUGGCAGCAGUUAAGAGGCAAUUUCAUGACAAAAUGGCCACUACAAAGAAAGUGGGUAGUUAUAGGACGAUCAAGCAGUUUUCAGAGUAGUUAAUCACAAAGAGAUCGUCUAUGAGGUAUAAAAGGGAGAAAGGACGCAGAAGCAAAGGACCGAAUCCAAAACUCUCGAACAGAGAAUAUGUAAUUUUCAUUUCCUUAGCUUUUAGAUUUAAACAUCUUUCUUUCUGUAACUCGUGUGCUUGCGCCCCUUGGAGGCACGUUGUUCUUCAUUCCCAAUUGUAAAGUUCAUCGCCAAUAAAAGAACACCCAUUUUUGGGACUUUGUCUCAAGAGGUUUCGUCCCUUACACAAUCGUCUGAUCCCUUUUAAUUGUUAGCGACUUAACCUGCGCGAAACACCUUCCAUUCCUUAGAUUGUGUACCAAACACGAGAGGAUGUCUAGUGAUUGACCAUCUACGAAUGGUAAUUAUUAUGCUUCAAAUCAUGAAAGCUAGUAAUAACAGCAAUUUUAGACAAUAUUCUUAUUCCCCACAAAAAAUAAAAAAAUAUAAAAUUAUUCGACCGAAAAUUGAUAGGUGUCUCGAUUGCUUAUAGAUUAUACUCAUAUACUUGCAUUAUUGAGAGGCUUAAUUAUUAAUAUUAAAGGAACCCAAUCUGAUUCUGCCAUUCUGGUAAACGCUGGAAGAGAGGCCUUUCAUAUUAUUUUCAUCGAAGGUUCCCUUUAAAAGAGACGGAUUAAAAUAUUAUUAUUAACUUUGUUUUUUCUUUUUUUCACUUUUUAUAAAUAUAUAUGCUGGGAAUUUUAUGAAAGGAUGGCGCACAAUACUUAAAAACAAAUUCUUCCUCUCUAUAUUUCCUCAAAUUGAGGUUCCCUUUCGAUUUUCCUAUUAAUAUCAAAGGAACCCUAUUCUGAUUCUGCCAUUCUGGUAAAGGAUGGAGGAGAGGCCAUUCAUAUUAUUUUAUUCAAAGGUUCUCUUUCAAAGAGACAGAUCAAAAUAUUUUUUUUUACCUUUACAACUCGUAUAUGCUGAGAAUUUGGCACACGAUACUUGAAACAAACUAUUCCUAAAACCUUUUUUUUUUUUUUAUGUCCAGGUAUCCACCUUACAGUGACUAAAUCCUGAAAUCUACACCUUGACCCCUCAAACUGCAGAUAGGUUAAACCACAAGUUGUGCCCCAAACUGACCAAUGCUCAAGAGCCCCCCAACUGAUCUGCCAAAGUGUCAAACAAGUUGUUUCCGAUCUUUGCAUCUUACCUUCCAAUAGAGCUCCUGCCUUACAGAAUAAAUCCUGUCUUCUAGGAGAAUAUCUGCCUUCGAAGAGUUUUUCAAGAAUCGAACUCACGACCUCUGAUCUGCCAGCUUUGAAGCGCCCUCAUCUUUGUCAGUUGGAAUGUGCCUUGGAGGGCUAUUCCUAAAACCUUAGAAUGGAUGGAUGGUGGUGAUUUUACACAUUUUCAGGUGGAGAGAUUUUUGUGAAGCACUCACACGAGAAGCGCAAGAGUAUCAGCAAUGCACACCAAAAUUCCAACCAAUUUUUUUUUAUAAAUCUAGCUCCAAUCAAAAUUAUGCCAUGUCAGUAGAAACUAAUAUUUGGAUUUUAAUCUUAAUCUAAGUCAAAAUCAAUAACUAAUUUUAGCCACACAUUUUAUAGGAUCCACAAUUUUUCAACCACACAUUUCAUCAACUUGUAUCAAAAUCUACUUAAAAUUUGAUUUUAAUCCUAUCAAAUAGGGGCUUAAUGUGGUGACCAAUUAACAAAUCAAGAUUUUAUACUAAACUAAAUUAAUAUUCGCUUGAAGACUUUUGUGAAGAUUUAUGGAAGUGGUUAGGAAUUUCGAUAUCACUUAAGUUAAUUGACAUUGGUCCAAUCUAAAUUCAUUUGGCCCCUUUUUUCGUAUGUUUUAUCAACCGAAUUAAUCAAUUUUAGCUAAUAAUUUCUCUCAAGCAAAACUAACAUACACCUUUUCUAUUAUGUAGAAGCUAACAUACACCCCACUUCUUCAAGAGGUCACUAGCAUCUGGAAACGCAUAUAUUCUCUUCUUUCUAUAUAUAUAGCCUGAAGCAAUGCCCACAAACAUAGUACACCAGUGUUCUUCUGCAUUCAGUUCUGAUAUUUAAUUUUCUUGACGUGUUUGAAUAAAAAAAAAAAAAGAUGGUUGAAAACAAAAACCAUAACAAGAAUUUGAUGUGUCUUCUCUGGGUGGUUCCAAAUGUUUUGAUGGCGAUUUUUAUAAUUUAUGUUUGAUUUUAGCUUAAUUUUCCUGUGUUCUAUACAUGUACUUGAAUGGGAACUGUGUGGACUGCAAGUUCUCACAUAUAAACAGCAGUGAUUGGUUUUGGAGUUCUAUCCUUGCCUUAGGCCACUGCUCAACUGGGAUGGUUGGCUGGUCCAUCUCUGAUGAUCUUGUUCGUAGUUUUGACUCUACCCAAAUAGCAUUUUGUUACUGAUCGGGAGAUCCCAAUACCGGAACAAGAAACUAUUCCUUCAUGGACGUUGUCAAAGCCAAUCUAGGUAAUCUCUCGAAUGCAGGCAGCCCUAAUAUUACUGUUAUAUUUCAUUCUUAUCUUCUUGUGAUAAUUGGAAUUUUCAGGUGGAUUUCUGGAGCAAUUCAGUACUUGAAUAAUGACCCGGGGGAGGGGGAAGAGGGAGAGUAUAGAAUGGAUAAAAAAAAAAAAAAAGUCUAUUAGAAGUCUGUUAAUAUAAUUUACAUUCAAUCAAUCUAUAAAUCGUGAUGUACAAAGGACAUUAUUCAAUUUGUAUUUGCAGAUAAUAGAAGAUCAUGCAUAGUGGUAGAUCUAGAAUUUUGAAUGAGCACGGACGAACGUUAACAGUUAACCGUCGGCCGUAAUAAAAUAUUAAAAAUUAAAUACAAUAAUUAUUUUUUUUUAAAUUGAACACGGGAAGUAACUGAAAAACAAUACCUCUUUAUUUACUCAGUGGCGUUGGGAGUUCCUGCUACUCUGGUGAGACUGUGUGACCUAAAAAAUGAGGGCGUUACUUUCUCCCUCGUUUUACCUCUGGCUUGAGAUUCAGUAUAUGCUGUUAGGAAAAAUAAGGAUGAAAGUCAAAUGGCCAAAGUGUUCUCUGUCAUACGUAUGCCACUUGCCCACGUAACUUUCUCCACUAUUCCCACUUUCUGAGUGGGGGGCUUUCAACUUUCCGCCGUUGGUUGUGCCUGUGAUAGCUGUUACAUGAACCUUAUCAAUCCAUCAAUGAUUUUAUGACUAAGUGAUGGAAUAGCCGCGUAAGUAACUUCAUGCGGGUCGACCGGUCGACUACCUCACAUAGAAGUAGAGUGCUCAUGAGGGUCGACGGUCUCAUGUGGAGGUAAAGCGCUCAUGGGGAUCGACGGCCUCGCAUCAGCGUGUAAUGUCUUACCUUGCUCGUCAUCGUAGGCGGCUGUCUACGCCAUCUGAUAUCAAUAUGCAUUGACAAUAUUCAUCGAAUGAGAGGUUGGUUAGGUUUUCUAUAAUUCAAAGAAAGAAGCAUGGGUUCAAAUUCUAUCGAUUACAUUAAAACCACUAAAACAAAAGUAUAUAUAAUUCUCCUAGAUUUAGUGACAAAAAUCAUGAAGUGCUAUUAUGGUUAAGCUUUGAAUAACCUUGAGGAGAGUUACAUGUUCGAAUCUUCUUCCUAUUGAGUUAGUUUUGGUAAUAAUUGAAGAACUAUAAAAAUUGCACAACAAAAAUGGUUAGGAAAAAAUUUGAUUCCAGGACAUCCAAAUUGUAAGUGAACACUCUAGCAAACUGAGUUACAUGAGAUGUCAGGAAGUACAUUGAGUUAUUAAAUAUAUAAUAAAACUUUUAUCUAGUGUCACUCAAAAAAUAUUUGUUCAAGAUGAAUAUAGCAUGCUCGGCCGUCGGUGCUCGUCGGGUGCUGAAUUCACCAUUGAUCACACAUACACAUCGAGUUUGGGAUUUUUAGUUGUCCAAUAAAGGAUUCUCUCUCUCUCUCUCUCUCUCUCUCUCUCUCUCUCUAUGCAACUAAGAAGUAUGCAGCUAAUCAAGCAUGAUGCCUACUUUUGAACCUUCCCUCAAUUUGAUACCUAAUUAGGUUGAUAUAACUUUGCAUUUCUCCAUCGUUCUUGUAGAAAAAACCAUGAUCGAUCG
This 23791-nucleotide long non-coding RNA is filed under the name Olea europaea (common olive). RNAcentral describes it as "long non-coding RNA (OEUR_LNC014556)". The record is from RNAcentral. Lineage: Eukaryota; Viridiplantae; Streptophyta; Magnoliopsida; Lamiales; Oleaceae.